RNAcentral lists this ribosomal RNA (686 nucleotides) under uncultured bacterium. RNAcentral's name for it is "bacterial SSU rRNA". It matches the Rfam family "Bacterial small subunit ribosomal RNA", at positions 44 to 706 of the family's 1533-position model. The record is from RNAcentral.
AUGCUUAACACAUGCAAGUCGAACGGAAACAGAUCGCUGUGAUCCCUUCGGGGUGAACUUGAUGCUGUCGAGUGGCGGACGGGUGAGUAACGCUUGGGAAUCUACCCAGUAGUGGGGGACAACACGAGGAAACUCGUGCUAAUACCGCAUACGUCCUACGGGAGAAAGUGGGGGAUCUUCGGACCUCACGCUAUUGGAUGAGCCCAAGUCGGAUUAGCUUGUUGGUGGGGUAAAAGCUCACCAAGGCGACGAUCCGUAGCUGGUCUGAGAGGACGAUCAGCCACACUGGGACUGAGACACGGCCCAGACUCCUACGGGAGGCAGCAGUGGGGAAUAUUGGACAAUGGGGGCAACCCUGAUCCAGCAAUGCCGCGUGUGUGAAGAAGGCCUGCGGGUUGUAAAGCACUUUCAGUAGAGAAGAAAAACUCGGGGUUAAUACCCCCGGGUCUUGACGUAGCCUACAGAAGAAGCACCGGCUAACUCCGUGCCAGCAGCCGCGGUAAUACGGAGGGUGCGAGCGUUAAUCGGAAUUACUGGGCGUAAAGCGCGCGUAGGCGGUUUGAUCAGUCGGAUGUGAAAGCCCCGGGCUUAACCUGGGAAUUGCAUUCGAUACUGUCAGGCUAGAGUAUGGGAGAGGGAAGUGGAAUUUCCGGUGUAGCGGUGAAAUGCGUAGAUAUCGGAAGGAA